AGCUUGCUCCCAAAUCUUAGCGGCGGACGGGUGAGUAACACGUGGGCAACCUGCCCUGCAGACUGGGAUAACUCCGGGAAACCGGAGCUAAUACCGGGUAAUACAUAGCACCGCAUGGUGCAAUGUUGAAAGUUGGCUUUCGAGCUAACACUGCAGGAUGGGCCCGCGGCGCAUUAGCUAGUUGGUAAGGUAAUGGCUUACCAAGGCGACGAUGCGUAGCCGACCUGAGAGGGUGAUCGGCCACACUGGGACUGAGACACGGCCCAGACUCCUACGGGAGGCAGCAGUAGGGAAUCUUCCGCAAUGGACGAAAGUCUGACGGAGCAACGCCGCGUGAGUGACGAAGGCCUUCGGGUCGUAAAGCUCUGUUGUUAGGGAAGAACAAGUACCGUUCGAAUAGGGCGGUACCUUGACGGUACCUAACCAGAAAGCCACGGCUAACUACGUGCCAGCAGCCGCGGUAAUACGUAGGUGGCAAGCGUUGUCCGGAAUUAUUGGGCGUAAAGCGCGCGCAGGCGGUCUUUUAAGUCUGAUGUGAAAGCCCACGGCUCAACCGUGGAGGGUCAUUGGAAACUGGAGGACUUGAGUGCAGAAGAGGAGAGUGGAAUUCCACGUGUAGCGGUGAAAUGCGUAGAUAUGUGGAGGAACAC
Molecule: ribosomal RNA, 650 nt
Filed under: uncultured bacterium
Lineage: Bacteria
Description: bacterial SSU rRNA
Rfam family: Bacterial small subunit ribosomal RNA
Source: RNAcentral